Molecule: ribosomal RNA, 254 nt
Filed under: uncultured bacterium
Lineage: Bacteria
Description: partial 16S ribosomal RNA
Rfam family: Bacterial small subunit ribosomal RNA
Source: RNAcentral
CACGUCGGGGGCAAGCGUUGUCCGGAUUUAUUGGGCGUAAAGAGCUCGUAGGUGGUUCGGUAAGUCAGGUGUGAAACCUCCAGGCUCAACCUGGAGACGCCACUUGAUACUGCUGUGACUGGAGUCCGGUAGGGGAGCGUGGAAUUCCUGGUGUAGCGGUGAAAUGCGCAGAUAUCAGGAGGAACACCAGCGGCGAAGGCGGCGCUCUGGGCCGGUACUGACACUGAGGAGCGAAAGCGUGGGUAGCAAACAGG